RNAcentral lists this ribosomal RNA (930 nucleotides) under uncultured Verrucomicrobiales bacterium. RNAcentral's name for it is "bacterial SSU rRNA". It matches the Rfam family "Bacterial small subunit ribosomal RNA", at positions 56 to 965 of the family's 1533-position model. The record is from RNAcentral. Lineage: Bacteria; Pseudomonadati; Verrucomicrobiota; Verrucomicrobiia; Verrucomicrobiales.
UGCAAGUCGAACGGGACUUAUUUUGUAGCAAUACAAGGUAAGUUCAGUGGCGCAAGGGUGCGUAACACGUGGGGAAUCUGCCGAGAAGUGGGGGAUAGCUCGCCGAAAGGCGAAUUAAUACCGCAUGUGACCAGGGAGGACAUCCUUCCGACGUCAAAGCCGGGGCAACCUGGCGCUUCUUGAUGACCCCGCGGCCUAUCAGCUAGUUGGUGAGGUAACGGCUCACCAAGGCUAUGACGGGUAGCUGGUCUGAGAGGACGAUCAGCCACACCGGAACUGAGACACGGUCCGGACUCCUACGGGAGGCAGCAGUGGGGAAUAUUGGACAAUGGGCGAAAGCCUGAUCCAGCGACGCCGCGUGGGUGAAGAAGGCCUUCGGGUUGUAAAGCCCUUUAAGCCGGGACGAAAAAGCGUGACCUAAUACGUCACGCCUUGACGGUACCGGAAGAAUAAGCACCGGCUAACUCUGUGCCAGCAGCCGCGGUAAUACAGAGGGUGCGAGCGUUAAUCGGAUUUACUGGGCGUAAAGCGUGUGUAGGUGGCUACCUAAGUCGAUUGUGAAAUCCCUGGGCUCAACCUGGGAAUUGCAGUCGAUACUGGGUAGCUCGAGUUCGGUAGAGGGUGACGGAAUUCCCGGUGUAGCGGUGAAAUGCGUAGAUAUCGUAAGGAAGACCAGUGGCGAAGGCGAAUCUCUGGACAGUUACUGACACUGAGGCACGAAGGCCAGGGGAGCAAACGGGAUUAGAUACCCCGGUAGUCCUGGCAGUAAACGGUGCGCGUUUGGUGUGGGAGGAUUCGACCCCUUCUGUGCCGGAGCUAACGCGUUAAACGCGCCGCCUGGGGAGUACGGUCGCAAGAUUAAAACUCAAAGAAAUUGACGGGGGCCCGCACAAGCGGUGGAGUAUGUGGCUUAAUUCGAUGCAACGCGAA